This 468-nucleotide ribosomal RNA is filed under the name uncultured bacterium. RNAcentral describes it as "partial 16S ribosomal RNA". It matches the Rfam family "Bacterial small subunit ribosomal RNA", at positions 28 to 507 of the family's 1533-position model. The record is from RNAcentral.
GACGAACGCUGGCGGCGUGCUUAACACAUGCAAGUCGAACGGAAAGGCCCUGCUUUUGUGGGGUGCUCGAGUGGCGAACGGGUGAGUAACACGUGAGUAACCUGCCCUUGACUUUGGGAUAACUUCAGGAAACUGGGGCUAAUACCGGAUAGGAGCUCCUGCUGCAUGGUGGGGGUUGGAAAGUUUCGGCGGUUGGGGAUGGACUCGCGGCUUAUCAGCUUGUUGGUGGGGUAGUGGCUUACCAAGGCUUUGACUGGUAGCCGGCCUGAGAGGGUGACCGGCCACAUUGGGACUGAGAUACGGCCCAGACUCCUACGGGAGGCAGCAGUGGGGAAUAUUGCACAAUGGGCGGAAGCCUGAUGCAGCAACGCCGCGUGCGGGAUGACGGCCUUCGGGUUGUAAACCGCUUUCGCCUGUGACGAAGCGUGAGUGACGGUAAUGGGUAAAGAAGCACCGGCUAACUACGUG